RNAcentral lists this ribosomal RNA (408 nucleotides) under uncultured bacterium. Its description in RNAcentral is "partial 16S ribosomal RNA". It matches the Rfam family "Bacterial small subunit ribosomal RNA", at positions 28 to 526 of the family's 1533-position model. The record is from RNAcentral.
GACGAACGCUGGCGGCGUGCUUAACACAUGCAAGUCGAACGAAGUGGCGAACGGGUGAGUAACGCGUAAUCAACCUGCCCUUCAGAGGGGGACAACAGUUGGAAACGACUGCUAAUACCGCAUACUGAAGGAGGGGAUUGCGUGUGAUUAGCUCGUUGGAGGGGUAACGGCCCACCAAGGCGAUGGUCAGUAGCCGGUCUGGGGGGAUGAACGGCCAAAAUGGGAAUGAGACACGGCCCAGACUUCUACGGGAGGGAGCAGGGGGGAAACGUCCGCAAUGGACGGAAGGCUGACGGAGCAACGCCGCGGGAGUGAUGACGGCCUUCGGGUUGGAAAGCUCUGUUAAUCGGGACGCGGUACCGGAAUAGAAAGCCACGGCUAACUACGUGCCAGCAGCCGCGGUAAUUC